This 469-nucleotide ribosomal RNA is filed under the name Escherichia coli. Its description in RNAcentral is "bacterial SSU rRNA". It matches the Rfam family "Bacterial small subunit ribosomal RNA", at positions 335 to 796 of the family's 1533-position model. The record is from RNAcentral. Lineage: Bacteria; Pseudomonadati; Pseudomonadota; Gammaproteobacteria; Enterobacterales; Enterobacteriaceae.
CACCUACGGGUGGCUGCAGUCUAGAAAAUUGCGCAAUGGGCGCAAGCCUGACGCAGCGACGCCGCGUGCGGGAUGAAGUCCUUCGGGAUGUAAACCGCUGUCCCGGGAGACGAUGGAGCGCAUACCCAAUACGUAUGCGCUUUGACGGUAUCCCGGAAGAAAGCACCGGCUAACUACGUGCCAGCAGCCGCGGUAAUACGUAGGGUGCAAGCGUUGCCCGGAUUCACUGGGCGUAAAGGGUGCGUAGGCGGAUCGGUAAGUUGAUCGUGAAAUCUCCGGGCUCAACCCGGAAACUGCGGUCGAUACUGCCGGUCUAGAGGACAGAAGAGGAGAGCGGAACUCCUGGUGUAGCGGUAAAAUGCGUGGAUAUCAGGAGGAAGGCCGAUGGCGAAAGCAGCUCUCUGGGAUGUUCCUGACGCUGAUGCACGAAAGCUAGGGUAGCAAACCGGAUUAGAUACCCUAGUAGUCC